This 468-nucleotide ribosomal RNA is filed under the name uncultured bacterium. RNAcentral's name for it is "partial 16S ribosomal RNA". It matches the Rfam family "Bacterial small subunit ribosomal RNA", at positions 28 to 507 of the family's 1533-position model. The record is from RNAcentral.
GAUGAACGCUGGCGGCGUGCUUAACACAUGCAAGUCGAACGGAAAGGCCCAAGCUUGCUUGGGUACUCGAGUGGCGAACGGGUGAGUAACACGUGGGUGAUCUGCCCUGCACUUCGGGAUAAGCCUGGGAAACUGGGUCUAAUACCGGAUAGGACGAUGGUUUGGAUGCCAUUGUGGAAAGUUUUUUCGGUGUGGGAUGAGCUCGCGGCCUAUCAGCUUGUUGGUGGGGUAAUGGCCUACCAAGGCGUCGACGGGUAGCCGGCCUGAGGGGGUGUACGGCCACAUUGGGACUGAGAUACGGCCCAGACUCCUACGGGAGGCAGCAGUGGGGAAUAUUGCACAAUGGGCGCAGGCCUGAUGCAGCGACGCCGCGUGGGGGAUGACGGCCUUCGGGUUGUAAACUCCUUUCGCUAGGGACGAAGCGUUUUUGUGACGGUACCUGGAGAAGAAGCACCGGCUAACUACGUG